GGAAGUUAAGAAAUUGUUUCUUAAUUAACUAAAAAAAUUAAGAACCGGUUUUUAAAUAAGGACUUUAAGAUCCGGUUCUUAAUUUUUUUAGUUAAAAGUUAAAGAAACAAUUUCUUAAUUUCC
RNAcentral lists this microRNA precursor (123 nucleotides) under Brassica napus (rape). RNAcentral describes it as "MIR9563 microRNA precursor family". It matches the Rfam family "MIR9563 microRNA precursor family". Lineage: Eukaryota; Viridiplantae; Streptophyta; Magnoliopsida; Brassicales; Brassicaceae. The record is from Rfam by way of RNAcentral.